GAAACCGCGAAUGGCUCAUUAAAUCACACCUAAUGUACCUGGAAGUUCCAUUACUUGGAUAACUGCGGUAAUUCUGGAGCUAAUACAUGCUAAAGAGCCCUGACUCACGGAGGGGCGCAUUUAUUAGAUCAAAACCAAACGCUUCGGCGUUCAUUGGUGAAUCUGAAUAACUUUUGCUGAUCGUAUGGCUCAACGCCGACGACGUUCCAGUCCAAGGUGUGCCCUAUCAACUUUCGACUGUGAUAUAGACGCUCACAGUGGUUUUGACGGGUAACGGGGAAUUAGGGUUCGAUUCCGGAGAGGGAGCCUGAGAAACGGCUACCACUUCUAAGGAAGGCAGCAGGCACGCAAAUUACCCAAUGGUCGAAGACCGAGGUAGUGACGAAAAAUAACGAUACCGGUCUCUUCCGAGGCCCGGUAAUCGGAAUGAGUACACUUUAAAUCCUUUAACGAGGAUCCAU
This 461-nucleotide ribosomal RNA is filed under the name Corycaeus speciosus. Its description in RNAcentral is "SSU rRNA". It matches the Rfam family "Eukaryotic small subunit ribosomal RNA", at positions 83 to 548 of the family's 1831-position model. Lineage: Eukaryota; Metazoa; Arthropoda; Copepoda; Poecilostomatoida; Corycaeidae. The record is from RNAcentral.